GACGAACGCUGGCGGCGUGCUUAACACAUGCAAGUCGAACGGAAAGGCCCUGCUUUUGUGGGGUGCUCGAGUGGCGAACGGGUGAGUAACACGUGAGUAACCUGCCCUUGACUUUGGGAUAACUUCAGGAAACUGGGGCUAAUACCGGAUAGGAGCUCCUGCUGCAUGGUGGGGGUUGGAAAGUUUCGGCGGUUGGGGAUGGACUCGCGGCUUAUCAGCUUGUUGGUGGGGUAGUGGCUUACCAAGGCUUUGACGGGUAGCCGGCCUGAGAGGGUGACCGGCCACAUUGGGACUGAGAUACGGCCCAGACUCCUACGGGAGGCAGCAGUGGGGAAUAUUGCACAAUGGGCGGAAGCCUGAUGCAGCAACGCCGCGUGCGGGAUGACGGCCUUCGGGUUGUAAACCGCUUUCGCCUGUGACGAGGCGUGAGUGACGGUAAUGGGUAAAGAAGCACCGGCUAACUACGUGCCAGCAGCCGCGGUGAUACGUAGGGUACGAGCGUUGUCCGGAUUUAUUGGGCGUAAAGGGCUCGUAGGUGGUUGAUCGCGUCGGAAGUGUAAUCUUGGGGCUUAACCCUGAGCGUGCUUUCGAUACGGGUUGACUUGAGGAAGGUAGGGGAGAAUGGAAUUCCUGGUGGAGCGGUGGAAUGCGCAGAUAUCAGGAGGAACACCAGUGGCGAAGGCGGUUCUCUGGGCCUUUCCUGACGCUGAGGAGCGAAAGCGUGGGGAGCGAACAGGCUUAGAUACCCUGGUAGUCCACGCUGUAAACGGUGGGUACUAGGUGUGGGGUCCAUUCCACGGGUUCCGUGCCGUAGCUAACGCUUUAAGUACCCCGCCUGGGGAGUACGGCCGCAAGGCUAAAACUCAAAGGAAUUGACGGGGCCCCGCACAAGCGGCGGAGCAUGCGGAUUAAUUCGAUGCAACGCGUAGAACCUUACCUGGGUUUGACAUGGAUCGGGAGCGCUCAGAGAUGGGUGUGCCUCUUUUGGGGUCGGUUCACAGGUGGUGCAUGGCUGUCGUCAGCUCGUGUCGUGAGAUGUUGGGUUAAGUCCCGCAACGAGCGCAACCCUUGUUCACUGUUGCCAGCACGUUAUGGUGGGGACUCAGUGGAGACCGCCGGGGUCAACUCGGAGGAAGGUGGGGAUGACGUCAAGUCAUCAUGCCCCUUAUGUCCAGGGCUUCACGCAUGCUACAAUGGCUGGUACAGAGAGUGGCGAGCCUGUGAGGGUGAGCGAAUCUCGGAAAGCCGGUCUCAGUUCGGAUUGGGGUCUGCAACUCGACCUCAUGAAGUCGGAGUCGCUAGUAAUCGCAGAUCAGCAACGCUGCGGUGAAUACGUUCCCGGGGCU
RNAcentral lists this ribosomal RNA (1346 nucleotides) under uncultured bacterium. RNAcentral describes it as "bacterial SSU rRNA". It matches the Rfam family "Bacterial small subunit ribosomal RNA", at positions 28 to 1381 of the family's 1533-position model. The record is from RNAcentral.